GACGAACGCUGGCGGCGUGCUUAACACAUGCAAGUCGAACGGAAAGGCCCUGCUUUUGUGGGGUGCUCGAGUGGCGAACGGGUGAGUAACACGUGAGUAACCUGCCCUUGACUUUGGGAUAACUUCAGGAAACUGGGGCUAAUACCGGAUAGGAGCUCCUGCUGCAUGGUGGGGGUUGGAAAGUUUCGGCGGUUGGGGAUGGACUCGCGGCUUAUCAGCUUGUUGGUGGGGUAGUGGCUUACCAAGGCUUUGACGGGUAGCCGGCCUGAGAGGGUGACCGGCCACAUUGGGACUGAGAGACGGCCCAGACUCCGACGGGAGGCAGAAGUGGGGAAGAUUGAAGAAUGGGCGGAAGCCGGAUGCAGCAACGCCGCGGGCGGGAUGACGGCCUUCGGGUUGUAAACCGCUUUCGCCUGUGACGAAGCGUGAGUGACGGUAAUGGGUAAAGAAGCACCGGCUAACUACGUGC
This 469-nucleotide ribosomal RNA is filed under the name uncultured bacterium. Its description in RNAcentral is "partial 16S ribosomal RNA". It matches the Rfam family "Bacterial small subunit ribosomal RNA", at positions 28 to 508 of the family's 1533-position model. The record is from RNAcentral.